UCUGACUCGCUGAGGAUAUUCUGGUGUUUU
Molecule: non-coding RNA, 30 nt
Filed under: Rattus norvegicus (Norway rat)
Lineage: Eukaryota; Metazoa; Chordata; Mammalia; Rodentia; Muridae
Source: RNAcentral